RNAcentral lists this ribosomal RNA (119 nucleotides) under Pteropus alecto (black flying fox). Lineage: Eukaryota; Metazoa; Chordata; Mammalia; Chiroptera; Pteropodidae. The record is from RNAcentral.
GUCUACGGCCAUGCCACCCUGAAUGUGCCCGAUCUUGUCUGAUCUUGGAAGCUAAGCAGGGUUGGGCCUGGUUAGUACUUGGAUGGGAGACCACCUAAGAAGGCCAGGUGCUGUAGGCA